CUCUGGAUCACUGGAUCAAGUCGACAGUGGAGCUGGCAAUGGCGAAGAAAGUUCUGGAUCCACUUUAAUCGGAUGAAAAGGCAGCAGAAUGUGUUCACCUUGUCUUGGAGAAUACUCGGAUCUUUUGCACUGUAGAGCAGGCAAGCAUCAUCAGCAAACAAUUUGCUCAAGAAAUUGGAGCAGUUAGACAGAUCAUUUAUGUAAAUUAAGAAACCAAGAGGACCUAACACACUACCUUGAGGAAUUCCGUGAUGAAUGGGCAACAUCGGAGACUGCUGAGAAUCCACCUCCACAUAUUGGAAUCGACCCGAAAAAUUCAAUAUCAUUUGGAGGACCUCUGCAGGAGUAGUUACUUCAAGAAAGAAAGAGCUUUGCAGAGGAGCACCCAAGAAGUACGCGAAUGAUUUUGAGCUAUGAGAGAGCGGUAUCAAUGUAGUUGUUACACAUCGACUCGACCUCAGAUCUGAAAGAGUCGCUACAAAAUUUUGUCAAAUCUCGCUUCAUCCGAGUUUUUGUCUUGGAAGAAACAUUUAAACCAGAGAUUGUACAAAUUACAGGAAA
Styela clava is the source of this 561-nucleotide non-coding RNA. Lineage: Eukaryota; Metazoa; Chordata; Ascidiacea; Stolidobranchia; Styelidae. The record is from RefSeq and is a predicted model, not a curated record.